GGUUGAUAUCACAAAAAAAUUAGCUUUCAGUAAGAUUUUUAUUUUUUCAUUCGCUUCUAUUCUAAUAUAGUCAUAUUUGACUGCAAUCAGUACAAUUGUGACUGUUUUUCAGGACCAUCUUUCCUUUUCCAACAACGUUCUUGUAUGUAUGUAUGUAUGUAUGUAUGUGUUCACAUAGCAAGUGCAAAAACCUUUACCAAGCUUCACACCAUUCCGAUGAAGUCAAAUAUACACCAAAGAGCACCAGAGGUUAUUUAGCAUUGGUGAUGACUGAUAACUUUCAGUCCUGCAGCGUGUGAGCUUGUGUUGUGUAAGAAAUAUGUAUCAUAAAUGACAUCCAUACACAUGACUGGUGUUUCCAUGUGUUUGUAAUUUAAUAAAAAGACAUUUACGUCUGAAAUUCAAAGGAUUUCUUUGCAGUGUGACAUUAAGCUCUGUAUCUGUCAAGAUAUCAUCUCUCUAAAAUCUGAUAUACCUUUACAACAGCAUUAAGAAAACAACUUUAAAACGUAGUACUUUCAUAUAAGUUGUAUUUACAGAAUGUACAUCACGCAGUGAAACACUCUAACGGCUAAUAUCAUGUUACGAUACGUCACUGUACACAGAUCAGACAACUGUACAGGAGAUUCUUCAACAGUCUGACGCAAGAGAUCUUGUGAAAAAACAACACCCACUCGUGUUCAGAUUGGCACAGAUGAGCAAAAUAAAGUCCAAUGGAAUGAAAAGCGACUGAUCUUCAAACUCGGUGAUCCCCAAAACACGACUGAUGAUGCAUAGAAACGAGUGAAUGUGAUUGGGUUUAAUAUCAGCUGCUGCCACACGACGUCAAUGUAAAUCCAGUAACACAACAAAAGUUAAGGCAAACAACACUUCAGAUACAGACAGAUGAAUCUCACAAACAGGUCCGGAUCAUAGUUCACUCAACAAUGAAGAAGAGACACUUUUGCAUGAAGAAAAUGAAGCCAAAACUCACAGACCACUGGGGUGUUCAGAAAUUUUAGAACUUAGCUACAAAUAUUUUUAACGUAAUGCAAAAAAUAAAAAAAAAUAAAAAAAAAAUUCUAAAAUAAAACUUAAAAUGCAAAAUAUUUGUACAAUAUAGCACUAUUUCCUGUAUUUCCUCUGUUUAUGUAAAUAAAGUCAAAGUAUCAAAGUAUUACAGUAAUGAGAAUCUAAAGAGAGCCACUAUUCAUAAUGACAAACAUUAAACACAAAUCAUAAGGAAAAUUUCCAGGAAUUAUGUUUUGUUUUCUAUAUCAUUCUACAGCAAAGAUGAUUUUGUUAAUUUGAGGAAAACCAAUGAGGUUAAUAAAAACCAGGCAACAUUUUCUUUAUGCAAAAUAUGAUUUCCUGUAUUUUCUGUUGAUCUGAGUGUGAAUAAUCACCUGGACAUGUUGUUUGUGAGAUUGAUCUCCAGUAGUGCAGACUGAGGUCUGCCGGACAGAAUCACACUCCAAGACUGACCUCGAGGUCUGAGAAGGUCAAAUAAUCCACCAACCUCCAGAAAAACCAGCCCGGAUCCAUCACAGCCAAACUUCACAUGACUGACGCCAGUCGCAUAAAACAGUCCAUAGAGAGUCACGCUGUAGCGUCUCCAAACCUGCUUCAGUUCAUUCUGAGUCUGAACACCGGCGUGUGAAACAGAUCCUUAGUUUGAGAGAGAUGAUCCGAGAGACACACACACGGGGGAAUGUGUGAAGUGUGUGCGCGAUUGCACUGUGUGCUAGCUUUGAAGAACAGUUAUUAAACAAAACACAACACCGUUCUGUCAUCUGUAUGUGUGUGUGUUACUGCGGUUAGCAGACCGCGGGGGCUGUGUUCCCGUCCCUGCGUCCCUGUUUCUUCAGGAGCUGGAUGCGGUUGUGGCAGUAGAACUUGAUGGCCCUCCAGUCGCGCUGGUUGCUGACCAGCAGAGGGCAGAGCUGCAGGCACCGCUCACAGUCCGCUUUCGCAGGAACACGCAGCUCCAUGAUGUUCCUCUUCAGGUGCGUCUCCACGGCGACCCGCUCCGCCUCCGACCACGGCCGCUUCAGCACGCCGCGCUUCCCUGAGACACACACACACACACACACACACACACA
Molecule: long non-coding RNA, 2081 nt
Organism: Cyprinus carpio carpio
Lineage: Eukaryota; Metazoa; Chordata; Actinopteri; Cypriniformes; Cyprinidae
Source: Ensembl